UAGAGAGGCAGAUAAAGGCCGCGCUUGUUGCAGCCUUCCCUGACAGGGCCGACCCCCACGCCAGUGAGCUCAUGCCUGCCUCAUUAUGGCUGGUGCCAGAUUUUUUCCAUUAACAGGUAAUUGAGUAGAAACUAAAAUAAGCGAAGUUUGUUUCAUCCCUUGGAUUUUCUUGCUGGGAUUUGAAAGAAAAACACUUUAGCAUCGUUAGUGGAGGAGUGUCCUUGAAAACGUAUUUAUGUUUUCCAAGUGAUUUGUCGCUUGGUAGGUGUAAUUAGCCCGUCCCCGGCCUCUCCCUUCUUGUUUUUAUUCUUUAAGGGCCACAGCCUUCAGAGAAUGGGAGCUGGUUUCCUGGACCCUUCGCUGUCAGUCACCCUGUUUUAAGAGCGGAUGGGUUAGGUAUGCUCGCGGUAGAUAACUAGCUUUUCUCUCUGCUCGCUCUUUCGCUCACGUGCACACGCACCUGGAGAAUCAGCAGGAGCCUGAGGGUCACGCAGCCUCAGGUGCUACCUAUGAGGGCCUGCUCACGCCUCCUGGAUGGUGCCUGCCUCCCUCCACCUUUGCGCCAGGUAGAUGGCUGAGGGGCAGAGGGGCUUUCUCUCACUGUAUCGCUCUGCAGCUAUCUUCCUGUACGCCCAGUCCCAGGUUCUAAUUUCACAGCUGCUGCUUCCAGGAGCAGAUGCUGAGGACUGACGGCGCCUGUCUCAGCUCUGGCUUGUGCUCCAUUUCAUGGAGAUUCCCCAUCACUGCCCAGCCUCAAACUCCCCAUGAAGUCCGGAGCUUCAGAUGGGUUUGUUUGUGAGAAAGAGGGAGAGAAGGAGGGAGAUGGAGCAGGCGUGGGGGCAUGGUCUCCACACUUGGGAGGUUUCAUUUCACCUGGAGCCCACGAGCAUCUUGUUUCCAUCGUGAACCCCACUGAGAUUCUGGUGUCUGCAUAUUCUUCAUAUGCCAGCUCAUCUCGCCAACGGAAACACGAGGCACCAGUAAUACCAUGUCCACACUGAACCAGCAAGACACGUUGAGUAUAAGCCUGGAGUAUCAUGCUGACCACCACGAGAACAGCCAGCAGUGGUGUCUUCAUGAUUUACAAAAUCUCUCCCUCUUGGAUCUCAAAGCAUUUCCAACUAUGAGACCGAAACCCCCGCCUCUACCUCUCCAUUUGGGCAAGAGUUAGUUCUACCAAAAGUAGACGAAUGGCUGCAUAUUUUAGGAAAAGCGUAUGUUUUUUCCUUAAUCUCAACCAUCUGGAGAUUUUUAACAUUCUAUAUUCUUUAUAGAAUUCUACAUAAGAGGUCAGUUUAAUUUUUUAAGAGUUGUUUAAACAUCCCAAGUAACACUGUAAGCCCCCAAACAAGAAAUGGCUCUCGGGCUAGACCACGGAAAAGCACAUGGAUUGUUCGUGUGUUUAGUCUAGUGCGGUGGAUCUCCUCCUUGGCUGCACCUGAAAGAAAGUGACGGCUGAGUCCCACUGACCUGUCUUCCCCAUCCCAGCAUCGUUGUUUGGUUCGGUCUCAUUUUGCCUUUAGGAUCUACAGGUGAGGCUAAUGUGGCAGCAGGGCUCAAGAACCACCAGAUGGGAACUAUCUGUGUUUGAUGAUAAGGGUGGGCUUGGAUGUUACCCUUUCAGUAUUCUCACUGCUCUUCCCUGCUAGAAUUAGAAAGAGGCUGAGAGCAGAGGCUCACACCUGUAGUCCCAGUGCUUUGGAAGGCUGAGGCAGGAGGAUUGCUUGAGGACAGGAGUUCAAGUCCAGCCAGGGCAACAUAGCCAGACACCCCCCCCCCAUCUCUACAAAAAAAUUUUAAAAAUUAGCCUGUAUUCCCAGCUACUUGGGAGCGUGAGGCAGGAGAAUUGCUUGAGCCUGGGAGUUUGGGGCUACAGUGAGCUGUGAUCAUGCUGCUGUACUGCAGCCUGGGCAACAAAGCAAGAUCCCAUCUCUCAAAAAAAAAGAAAAAAGAA
Long non-coding RNA from Macaca mulatta (Rhesus monkey), 1954 nucleotides. The record is from Ensembl. Lineage: Eukaryota; Metazoa; Chordata; Mammalia; Primates; Cercopithecidae.